CAAUACGAAUAUACAAUUGCAACGUAUGGAUAAAAAAUCCAAUUGGAUGGUGCAGUGUUAAAUUCUCGUUAAAGAGUCAUUCGAGGUACUUUUUAAGCCGAAUAGAAGUGCCAUCAAAAUAUAACGUUUAUUUCAUUAUGCUCGUUAAUGUAUUCGUGUUUCAUUGCAUUCAUUCGUGAUUUUCAAUGCUUCUUUAUCAGUCACGACGAUCCGUGUAGCUUUAAUAUCAACCAUACGACACAGAAGGAAGGUUUCCAACUGGUCUCGAGGCGGUUUUGAAAUCUUCAUCGAACAAAAUCUCGUGCACGCGAUUAUCCUUUUACACGCGAAUUCCUUGCAAAAAAUAAGAUUCUACAAAACCGACACGAGAUGUCAGGAAAAAAGAUGUCGUAAAAGUCCAAAGUUUUUAAGUUUUUAAUUAUUCUGUAUCUGCCGCCACUACGGAUAUAGCUAGAAAUUUGUGCCAUCGAGAAGGAAGCUGUCAAACGCCAGAUGGAAACAAUGUAACAAGAAAAUUACAAACCACGGUAAACGAGCUGCAUUUUUAAUGUCUCAUUUUUUGCCGAAUCGUUCUCAAUGAACACGUAUAUUAUGCAUGAAAGUGACCGCGAUUCGACCGAAUUUUUUUCCUCCAACAUAAAUGCCGAUUCUCUUAAAUCGUAAACUUUCGAAACAUGUUUAGUAAAGAAUAUCCGGGAAGCUAUGGUUUACAAUAGUCUGGUUAUUUUGUGUAUUUACAAGACAUCUGUUCACUCUCUCUUGCGUACCGAGCAAUCUUUCGUGUUUAAUCUAUGAGAAAGUUGAAUGCGCCCUGUGGAACCUGUUAAUAAUGUCUAUUCUGCGCUUCCGUUUUCAGAUGAGUGCUAUAGUUGGUAAUUCUGUAUUAAGAUAUUUUCUUCUAUAGAUUUUAUUAUAUAUCAUACUCGUUAUUUUAUUUAUUUUCUUUGUUUUUUUAUUAAUUUUCUUUAUUUAUCGUGGAAUAUAUGCGUAAGUGACAAUGAAAAAAUGUCAAUCUUCUUUCGUCCGUGUUAUAAUAUCCGUUUGAAAUACAUUAGAGUGCGUGGAAAUUAGUAAAAUAAAGUUUAACGAUAAAUUUAUGAAUUUAAUAUUAUACGCAAUAGUACUUUUUAUUUUAUUCGAUUUAGGUAAACUUUUAGAUUCUCUGUCUUUAGAUUCUCAAUCUUUCAAAUAGCUUGUUCUUCCUAAUACACUUUCUCUUUAUGAACUUUAUAUCGUAUUGCCAUAUGAUAUGUUAAUAAGUAAAUUUAUGUUAAUAAGUAGAUUUAGUAUGCCACACGAAUAAAGUUAGAUUUAAAAGUACAAAAUAUAUAUCUAAAAGUUCUGGUAUUUAAAAGUCAAAUUUAAACGAACGGAUAUGUUAAAUCAUAGUUUCUCAUUCAACACUUAAACCACUUAAACAAAAGUAAUCAUCAUGCAUAUUUAAUUUCAUGUUAGAUACACGCCUCAAUAUCCUCAAACAUUAUCUUCAUACUUAAAUAAAAACCAGAAUGUAUAAGGUGCAAAAGGUCGAGUAGUUUUCCGCUUAAUUCAAUUUUUAAUCCGCACAAUUCAUAAUUAAAAUUAAUAUACGCCCAAGAAAUUAAGAUUCUUACAUAGUAAUCUUAAUUUCGUUCAUCUACAUUGAUAACAAUCAACCAACCGCUACGUGUAUAUAUUCUAACCGAAACUAAAAUAUUUAUUUAUCGUUAUUUUAUAAUGAACAACAUAUAAAAACGUUAAAAAGAAUAUAUCUAUAUUCAAUUAAUGCAGAGUUUGUCAAAUAAUUGCUUACGAAGAGAACGAAAUAUUUUAUAAAAAGGAAAAAAUACACGUGACGAUAUUUAUGAUUUUUACCAAUAUUUCAAAUAUUCGUUUCGGUAUUCAUCUCUUGUUAACUCGAAAGUAUAAUGCUCUUUGCAAAGCUGGCAACGAAUACCACGACGACGUAGAAAAUAUGGCUCGUUUACGUUGUCACAUUACGCCCGGUCAUGUAACACAAUGUAAUUUGUUAGUGAAAACUCUCAGUGAAGAAUCAGUCGUUGGAUGAAUGCACGCGUUUGUUCGUAAACAUAAAGCGUGUUCUCGACGAGUGAACGCGACACCGCAGCUCGAAUAUCUCUGGCAAUGAUCGCGAACAACGUGUCUGACUAUCGUUACUUUUAAUGCUACGUACCACUUGGCUGCGGCUUGUCGUCUGAUUGUGAAGCCCUCGCGAUACGCGUUUAUUGAGCGAUCGCAAUCAACGUUUUGAAAAGGUCGCGGCGGGUGCAGGAAGUCGGCCGAUUGUCGAUCUAUCGGCACAUUCUUCUCACGGUCGUGUAUCCACCAGCAGCGAAGUCACCUUAUUCUCAACCUCGAUCGCCGAGCGUGCCGAGAACACCACUGACACUGAACAAACCGCACCGUAACCAGACGGUCCAAAGCGCCGCUCGAUAGAUCGAAACACGUUCUCGUACUACAGACUAGCGAUGGACUCGAGUUUUUAUUUUCACUUCGUCUCUUCGUGCCAAUCUUACUUUUCUGCUUACGCAUACAGUAACACGCAUGAACAUUCGAAUACCACGGUAUUCGCAAGAUUAUUGUCCUAUAUAUAUAUAUAUUUGUUUACAGCAACAUUAUUCAAUUAAUUGUUUUUUAGUAUAUUAAAAGACUUAUUGUAAUUAGUAGAAACGUAAAUUUUAUUUAUUUAACGCAGCUUUUUGCAUAUUAAGCAGUAAAAUAAAGAACGUCAGAAUUUAAAUAUAUACAUAUUAAUUAUACAUAUUCUAAAUAUGUAAAAUGUAUAGCGUACACAUAUGUUUUAUGUAGAAUUAAUGUAACUUGCUUAUUACUUGAUUUAAUGUAAAAUCAGAUUAUAUUGAUUAACGCGAAGUGUUUCAUAUAUUUCAUGUUAAAUUUCGACGUUACUUGGUUUAUCGCUUGUGAUGCAAAAAACUGUGCGCAACAGAUAAAAUGUGUGUUUUUAUUAGUUGGAAUAAAUGUUUUGAUAUAUCAAAAAGAAAUUUUUUAGAAUUUAGCAAUGCUGUUAUAAACAAAUAUAUGAACCCCAGAUGCCUAAAUAUUGAUAAGAGUCAUUUUAUGCUCAAUUAUAUUAUCGUUGGUAUUCUUGAUAAUAUACAUAUUAGUAUAUAUAUGUACCUGACUCUGCUACGUUCUUUUCGUCAUUUUCGUCUCGAUUAUAUUUUUCUUAUGAAAAAGGAUAUCUUUACAGUCUGGCCAAACUAUGAAAAAUGUCUCAUGUGUACUUCCUCGUUUCAACGGUAUGUUAAACGUCUUCUUGAAACAUUACAAAUUCUUUUUUUGACUAAUAUGAGGGCAAAAUUGAAAUAUAAAAAUUCGAAGAUCGUAGCAAAGUUACAGACGACAUAGAAGAAUAUUUUAAAAUAUAACUGGUCCAUAUUUUGAUUUUCUGGCUGUUGUGUCACUUGACGACUAAAAACGAAGUGUUAAAUUAUAAAACCAACAUUCUUAAUUCAAAUAUAUAUUAUUAAAUUAUUUCAACUUUCUCAAAAUGUUUCUGCCUUCCAAUUGCUAUUGUUUUAUCGCUUGUAUAUAUUUCAAAAUUUUUGCGAAUUUUAUUUAAACAUUUGUCUUUUUACAUUUUUUACAUAAAAUUAUUAAAUUAAAAUUACUAGUUGAGAGAUAUGUGUUAUUGAACAUUGCCGUGUCAUGAAUAUUUUUAAAGGUCAUGUGCGUGAGAAAAACAUUUUGAAAGAAUAGAAACUGAUUAGCAACAAGUGUAAAUCUAUUAACAUACAUAUCUUAACAGAACACUUAGAUAUGAAUAUUAUUGGAUCAGGUAUAAGUUCGUUUUCUCAAACUUUCUAUUCUUCUUAAUGUAUGAUCUAAGAUAAAGAGUACAUUCUCCAUGCAUCAAGAAGAUACCUAUUAUAUCGUUAUUAUAAUGUAAAUAUUAAAAUUCAGAGAUUUAUUGACAUUUAUUGAUAAAAUGUAAGACUUUGGAAAAAUCAUAAAGAUGACUGUGUUUCGGUGACUAAAUAAUGUAAGUAGGUUACACUGCUAUUGAUGACCUACAUACAUAUGUACAGAAUAUUUUAUUUCGUGCAAACGAGAGAAUUAAUUGUAUAGAAGACGCGUUCCAUAAAUUCUUUAUAUAUUAUAAUGAUGCUAAAAAUAUAAUUAUAAUUAUAAUAAAUAAAAAGUAUUAUGCGUCAGUAACGAAUAUACAAAUAUUAAUACGGAAAUUUUGAUUAUCAAUCGAUUUUUUAUUUGCUGAAAUUACUUAUUACUAAUUCAUAAAUCCACAUUCUACGUGACUGAAGAAAAAAUAUGUAUAGUACACAUUGAAAUUAUAGGAUGAUGUUUGAUAACAGAUUUAUAAAUCGCUUAAAUUUUCAUUCUCAAAUUUUAACUGCGAUGUAUAUAUUUUGGCAAUACAUAUACUGCACAAUAAAUAUUAUUUUUGCAAUGAUCAUAUAUCUGUAAAAUGUUUUUCGAAGCUUCUUUAAAUAUUUUCUAUAAAUAUUCCUAUGUAUAUUAUUUAACUUUCGCGAUAAAAACUAAAUUUCUUCCGUUUCUUUCAAACUUUCAAUUUCUAUUGCAUUCUAUAUUUUCAAAAAUCAUCACAGGAAUAACUUUCGAUGGAAUUAAUUUUCAAUAAGUAAAAGAAGUGAAUUCGCAUUCGACUUAUUUCGUUUAUUAAUGAACUGAUAUUAUCGUUCGAUAUUAUUAAUUCUAUUAUCUACAUCAUCACUAAUUUGAUUUUUAAUCAUUGUAACUGGCAUUGUAGCUGAAUUAAUUUCAAAAUUCUCCAAAACAUUCGUACUGUAACAUCAACUAGACUACUAACUCGAAAAAAGUGAUUAAACAUGAUUUGCAAUUGGUGAAUUUUAGCUGAAUUCGUGUUUCUAUCGAGUUUUUUUUUCAAAGAAUCUUGUUGAUCGGGCAAAGAUAUUCUUAUCUCUAUCAUUAACUACAUUGCUUUAGCAGGUUUCUGCUAACACUACGGUCAAGAACAGCCAGGGCAAAAGGGGGAAAGCAUUGCCACUUUCACCGUUUCGUAGUUUUUUCAGCAUAUCUAAAGAUCCUACAACGUAUACGAACGGAGCCCGUUCAUUGUGAAAGUCUGACAAAGACAUCUGCUACCUCCAAGUCUGAUUAUACAAAGGUCCUUUAUUUGUUCCAAUUUUGUCACACAUUGAUUCUGUGUCCUAUACGGUGGCGAAACUUUGGAUCAAUCAGCUACACCAGUUCUAUUUCUGAAAAUUCUUUUUAUCCUGGGAGUUCGAAAACUAAGAAAAAUAAUUCCCAAAUAUUUACAAUAUACCUUCUUUUCUUUUUAAAUGCGUAACGGAUUUUAUUUAAAAUUAAUAAGGAACUCUUAUUUGAGAAGCAUUAAAUUGUCGAUUUUGCGAAAUCUAAAUUAGAUCAUGGAGUAUAUUACAGAUUUUAAAUAUGCAAAGAAAAAACAAUAUCAGUAAUAUGUAGAAUGUAGGUUUAUAUAGAAUUUGGAACAGAACGAAAAUAACAAAACAAUUUUUUUUAUAGCCGAUAAUUAUGGUUAUAAGUGAUUAGAAUGAUUAUACCUUAUCAUCAUGUGAAAUUUAUUAUAUAAAGGGCUAAUGCUAAAAUAAUAAUAAUUAAUUAUAAUAUGUAUAAUAAUAAUUACACAUGAGAUGUGAUAAUAAUAAUUAAUUACACAUGAGUAGUUUUCCUUCUAAUAGAGAUGAACGAUGAUCCACUUUCCGAGGCAAAUAUUUAAAUACCUGAUUUGCCGCGCAUUUUUGUAAUUAAAUUACAGUAGUAGACGUUCGUAUGAGACAAAAUCGACAUUAACAAGUGAUAUACCAUAUUACAUACUAAUCGAUUUGUCUUUUCUAGGCUUCGUACUUGCUCCGCGAGCUUGCCAUAUUUUAAGCACCGAUUACAUUCAAGACUUGCUCGUUAACGCACUUUACACUGUUCGCAAGACAAAAUCGUUUACUUACUUUCUAGUUAAGUGACCAUCUUUACGAUAUUUCGGAUUGUAUUCGUUUUCUAUGAUUAAAAGCCGAAACACUGGUAGCACCAACGAAAGGUGCAUUGUUCCUAGAUUAAUUUGAACAAACUAACAAUAAACAUGUUGAAUGACAACACGUCCUUUUCUUCUUGUAAAAAUUGCGUUAAAUGGAUUUUAGAAACAAUUUGAUAUCUUAUUGGAAUCCUUUGCAGCCACAAUAUAUAGGAAAAUAUGUAACUAUCGAAAACAUAUCGUGAGUACUUGAGGGAAUUAAGAUCUAUUUAACGGUUAUUUUUCUCGUACGGUAUAAGAGUUUGUAAUAUAAUAAUAGGACGUGAGAGAGAGAAGAAAGAGAGAAAGAGAAAGUGUGAGAGAGAAGGUACGUAUACUUAUAUUGUGGAUGAAAAGGAAGCUUAAGACAAAUACUAAAUAAUAAUAAAAAAUUAUCGCUUAAAGAAAAAUUUACACGCAAAACAAUAAUAAACGCAUUGAUUCGAGAGUAAAACAUAGCGACGGGCGAAUUUUUAAUUCGCAAGGUACGACGCAUGACUUUACUGAUAAUUAUAAUAACGCACUAUUAUGAAAUGAAUUCAUAGGAUUUUACAAAUCCAUUGUUAAGCUCUAGGGCUCAUUAAAACAUUUCUUAAUUAUUUCGUAAUAUAUUUUAGGUAAGAAUUCAAAUAAAACGUAUUUCGCUUUCAUCAUUUAUCGAUAAAUAGUGACAUCGAUAACUACAUUUUUUAUUCCUAAAUAAAGCCAAACGACGUCAAUUUCACGUCAUAAGAAAUCGUGAAUGCCUUUGAUUGAUAUUAAUAUCGCACGGGCCCAUGAACGGCAGGUACUUAUGUCGCGGUCAGUUAAGUCACCAAAACUUUUUUAUUUUGCAUAUGUUGAAUUAUUUCAAAAUGUAUAGUCCAAUUUAUCGAUUAACGAUAUGCAUAAUUAAAUUGCUACACACACACAGGAACCAAACCAUAAAUUUCGAGUUACUCGUAGAAUUUGUUAGAUAGGUAAGGAAUUUUAAUAAUUGAACAAAACAUACAGGUAUAGUUUCAGUAGUAUUUAUAUAUAGCCCAGUCUUACAAAAAAGUGACCGUAUCGUUCCAAGGGACGGGCAAACAUUGCUCACCUGCGUUAAAACUAACAAUCGGUGUACUGUCAGUUCAAGGUUUUCAUUUCACUGAGAAAGUAGGUAUAUAAUGUUACGAUAUUAUAAGCACAAUAAUUAAAAAUUAAACUAUUAAAUUCAAAUACAAAUCCUACUUUCACUCUCCUAUAUUUUACUUCCAUUUUUAUUUAUGAAAAUCAAAGCGGACAUGUUUCUUUUUUUCCUGAUUUAUAUAUAUAUAUAUAUAAUGUUAUGUGACCACCUUUUAAAUUGCCUCAAUUGCCAUUGUGGCAACGUCUCAAUAUUCGCAGGCCUCUCGGGACGAAGGGAACUUCAGUUUGAUCACAUUUGUCUGAGCAUUCUUCGAGCCCGAGUAUUGGCUUAAGUUUUAAGGUAGACGAGCCAUAGCUAAUUUCAAUCGGUGCUGAUGCAUAAGUGGCAAUAGGCUGGGGCUGCUUGUUGGUGGCUUUUGGAUGUUGGA
This is a long non-coding RNA of Bombus pyrosoma, 7548 nucleotides long. RefSeq lists it as uncharacterized. NCBI's taxonomy places the organism in Eukaryota, Metazoa, Arthropoda, Insecta, Hymenoptera, Apidae. The transcript has 2 exons. The record is from RefSeq and is a predicted model, not a curated record.